UCCAGAACACCACAGGCUCCAGCCUCUGCAAACUUGGUGGGUCCUCGGUCUGCACAUGCCACAGCUCCUGUGAAUAUUGCUGGCUCCAGAACCGCUGCAGCCUUGGCCCCCGCGAGCCUCACCAGUGCUAGGAUGGCUCCAGCAUUGUCUGGUGCAAACCUCACCAGCCCCAGGGUGCCCCUUUCUGCCUACGAGCGUGUCAGUGGCAGAACCUCACCGCCGCUCCUUGACCGAGCUAGGUCCAGAACACCACCGUCUGCCCCAAGCCAGUCUAGGAUGACCUCUGAACGGGCUCCCUCCCCUUCCUCUAGAAUGGGCCAGGCUCCUUCACAGUCUCUUCUCCCUCCAGCACAGGAUCAGCCGAGGUCUCCUGUGCCUUCUGCUUUUUCAGACCAAUCCCGUUGUUUGAUUGCCCAGACCACCCCUGUAGCAGGGUCUCAGUCCCUUUCCUCUGGGGUAGUGGCAACGACCACGUCCUCUGCUGGUGAUCACAAUGGCAUGCUCUCUGUCCCUGCCCCUGGGGUGCCCCACUCUGAUGUGGGGGAGCCACCUGCCUCUACUGGGGCCCAGCAGCCUUCUGCAUUAGCCGCCCUGCAGCCAGCAAAGGAGCGGCGGAGUUCCUCCUCGUCAUCGUCGUCCUCUAGCUCCUCCUCUUCAUCAUCAUCGUCGUCGUCCUCCUCCUCCUCCUCUGGCUCCAGUUCUAGUGACUCAGAGGGCUCUAGCCUUCCUGUGCAACCUGAGGUGGCACUGAAGAGGGUCCCCAGCCCCACCCCAGCCCCAAAGGAGGCUGUUCGAGAGGGACGUCCUCCGGAGCCAACCCCAGCCAAACGGAAGAGGCGCUCUAGCAGUUCCAGUUCCAGCUCCUCCUCUUCAUCUUCCUCUUCCUCUUCCUCCUCCUCUUCUUCCUCCUCCUCUUCCUCUUCUUCCUCUUCCUCCUCAUCUUCCUCCUCCUCCUCGUCUUCCUCCCCUUCCCCUGCUAAGCCUGGCCCUCAGGCCUUGCCCAAACCUGCAAGCCCCAAGAAGCCACCCCCUGGCGAGCGGAGCCACACCCAGCGCCUUGCAGUCUAAGGAGAGCCCAUGCCUUUGGACAUGCUGUUCCUUCUGCCUGGAAUUUCCUUGUCCGCCUGGUGAACUCCUCGUUCUGCAAGACUCCGCUCAAAACAGCACCUUCGAGAAGACUGCCCUGCCCCUUCCCUGCCCUGCCCCAUGUCCCCCUCCCUUGGGUCCCCAGAGCCACGCACAUCCAGCCCUGCUUCCCACACACGGGGCCGUGCGUGCCUUUCUUCACCACUGAGCUCCUUCAAGGGCAGGGACUGUCUUUAUCUUUGCAUCCCCCGCUGCACCCUGUGCCUGCCCACUGGGCACUCGGUGGAUGGUGUGCGGGCGGAUGGGUGAGUGAGCGGACAAAGGUGGGUCUGAGGCUGGCCCUGUGUGGUGUGA
Molecule: small RNA, 1440 nt
Filed under: Pongo abelii (Sumatran orangutan)
Lineage: Eukaryota; Metazoa; Chordata; Mammalia; Primates; Hominidae
Description: processed transcript
Source: RNAcentral